This 437-nucleotide long non-coding RNA is filed under the name Mustela putorius furo (domestic ferret). RNAcentral describes it as "lncRNA (ENSMPUG00000030872.1)". The record is from RNAcentral. Lineage: Eukaryota; Metazoa; Chordata; Mammalia; Carnivora; Mustelidae.
CUGGCAACCAGCCGCCAUGACAAAGCUUGUGCUCAAACUUUAGGGUCCCCUAGGGUUGGCGAUGGUGGUUUUCAUUUAGGUCUGGUUGGGCCCCCCAAGUAGAAGAUUUCAAGACUGAUUCUGAUUCAACUCUGUCAUGUAGUACUUGUGGUGCCAGAUUGGAGAAGGAGGAAAAAAAAAAAAGCAAAACAAAAAACACUCUCCUAGUCCAGAAAAGUUUGGCUCAAGACGGCCUAUAAUCAAAAAAUAGCAAAGAGGAAAAGACUGUGUGUUUGUUCUUAUAAAAUAUGGAGUCAGUGCUUUUAGUAUCAUCAGACUUCAGUGUCAGACCUCUGUCACAGCUGCGGCUAAAUGCAUCUGAGAAAGAACUGGAAGGUUUUAAUAAAAAUUGGAGUGAAACCUAUAGAUUGAGUUCAGAAGUGACAUCUUUACUGUGA